Molecule: long non-coding RNA, 324 nt
Filed under: Setaria viridis
Lineage: Eukaryota; Viridiplantae; Streptophyta; Magnoliopsida; Poales; Poaceae
Description: long non-coding RNA (SVIR_LNC000974)
Source: RNAcentral
AUUUAAUCGCACCUGCUAAGAUUACCUAUGAUCCUGAUACCAUAUUAAAUUUCACGUACUGAAUUCAACUCAAAAAUUUAAGUUGACGAGGAAAAGUGUACAGUUCACUGACAGUUCAACAUCAAGUCAUUAACUUAGCCAGGUUUCUCGUCUUUAUUUAGUUACCACCUACCACCGUCAGGGCCGGGGUCAGCCUCCUCUUUAUGGUCAUAUUUUCAUUUUUUGUCACUUGGGACUAACUUUCAUGCAUAACACUAUAGGCAAUUGGCAGGCCUCAAGAGGCCGUUCUCCUGCGCCGAUAUAAACACACGUUGUCUCUCACCC